GUAGGUGAACCUGCGGAAGGAUCAUUAUCGAGUUUUGAAGUGGGCUUCUUGAUGCUGGCAUGCAGGUGCUCAGAGGUCCCGCUCUCAUCCACUCAACCCCUGUGCACACUUGAGAGCGAGGUCGGUCGUCGGCGCAAGCCUUCGACUUGCUUCGUUUCUUAUUACAAACACUUUUUAUUGUCUUGUCGAAUGCAAUGCCUCGUAGUGGGCGAAAUGUUAAUACAACUUUCAACAACGGAUCUCUUGGCUCUC
This 252-nucleotide unclassified non-coding RNA is filed under the name rhizosphere metagenome. RNAcentral's name for it is "partial ribosomal RNA internal transcribed spacer region". The record is from RNAcentral.